This 632-nucleotide long non-coding RNA is filed under the name Solanum lycopersicum (tomato). Its description in RNAcentral is "long non-coding RNA (SLYC_LNC000488)". The record is from RNAcentral. Lineage: Eukaryota; Viridiplantae; Streptophyta; Magnoliopsida; Solanales; Solanaceae.
CGUUAUCGAGACGACGCAUCGUAAUAUUAUUAUUGGUAUCGAGAGAUUGAGGAGGGGUCAAGUAAUUUAGGAAAAGAUGACUUAAACUUGAGGAUACUGUACCUCUAGCUGCCCUAACCUCAGCCAAUUUCACCUGUAUAAUUGCAUGCAAAUAAAAGAAAAAAAUAAUUUUGAGAAAAAAAUAAAUGAAUAAAAUCCAUAAAUAUAACUACUUUUCGAUUUUUUUUAUUAAGAAUAACAAUAAUCAUGAAAUUUCAAAUUUCAUACGUGAAAUCUCUCAAAAUUGUCAUGAAAUUUCAUAUAUAAAAUAUAAAAUUCUACGACUUUGACGACUGAUGAAAUAAAAAAAAGAACAUGUUUGAAAAGUAACCAAUGUGUAUUAUAUUUUUAUGGACUAAAUUUAAAUAUCUACUCGUAACAAAAAAAUUUUUUUUUUUUUUUGAAUAAAAAAAAACAUUCAAUUGGAAAUUAAAUUAAAGUGUAAGAGAAAAAGGAAAAAUACUUUGGCUCUUAAUUCUUCCACAUUUGACUUUAGCACUCUAUUAUUUGUCAAAGAUUCUUUAUAUUGUUGUGUAGCAUCUGCUAAUUGUUUAAACAAUGCUUCAUUUUCACCUCUAAAUUGAUCAACCUGA